CUCUCCCCCCCCCCGCCAGAGCUCACCGGAGGUCUCACCGGCCUUUUCCUUCCCAAAGCCGCCACCGUAUCCACCCCUGGCGAAUCUGCCGCCCCAUCGCUGUCACCUCCACUUCCAUCCUCCCCACCUCCACCGGUUCCACCGCCGCCGUCAUCAAAACCCAAACACUUGAGGAAGGCUUUCACUGCGCCUCCGCCGCCGCCGCAGCAGAGUGGACUGAGGCAGCGCCACCACCAACUCUGUUGAUCUCCUUCUGGGGAAGCUUCCAUUGAAGAGAAAAGAUCAAAGAAGUGUUCUUUUUCUUGUUUUCUUCUUCUUCUUCUUAAUUUCUUCUGCUGAUGUUUGCAGAAAUUUAAUGCUGUUUCAGCUACCGGUCAUGCAUUGUAUUUAUAUUAUUCUGAAGGUUUUUUUUUCACCGAUCAGUCAACGGUACAGAUCAGUCAACUGCUCCCAUCGUAUUUAAUGCAAUUUUUUUCCCACUCAGAUCUCUG
This 491-nucleotide long non-coding RNA is filed under the name Linum usitatissimum (flax). RNAcentral's name for it is "long non-coding RNA (LUSI_LNC004211)". The record is from RNAcentral. Lineage: Eukaryota; Viridiplantae; Streptophyta; Magnoliopsida; Malpighiales; Linaceae.